This 415-nucleotide long non-coding RNA is filed under the name Lotus japonicus. RNAcentral describes it as "long non-coding RNA (LJAP_LNC001556)". The record is from RNAcentral. Lineage: Eukaryota; Viridiplantae; Streptophyta; Magnoliopsida; Fabales; Fabaceae.
AUCAUUGUUCUUGUUAUUAUCAUUCAUUGUUUCUGUAUUCAAAAAAGUUCAAACAUUCUUGUCAUUUGAAUUGAUGGAAGAUAAUAAUAAUAAUGAUAAAUGGCGUUACUAUGANCAGACGCUUCUUUUCAACAAGAAACUUCUCCCAAUCGUGAGAAUCUUCCACCAUUUUUCCAUUUUCUUUCUCUUUUCUAGGCAUGAAAAUUGACUUCAAAUCUCUGAAUUUGUUUCCCUUUUGAUGUGACAGAGUUUUCAGAAACUCCACUGAGCUCGCAGAAUUCGGCUAUGGCGGUUGAUCCUCAAUCUCAUGGUGGCAGCCCAUGGAAACAAUUUAAAAUUUGAAUCUUUUCUUGUUUUGGAUGAACCCCAUUUUCUUGAUUUUGAUGAUUGAUCAUGUUUUGACAUGGGGCUUUAG